GACGAACGCUGGCGGCGUGCUUAACACAUGCAAGUCGAACGGAAAGGCCCUGCGUUUGUGGCGCGCACGAGUGGCGAACGGGUGAGUAGCACGCGAGUAACCUGCCCCUGACUUUGUGAUAACUUCACGAAACUGGGGCUAAUAUCGGAUAGGAGCUCCUGCUGCAUGGUGUGGGUUGGUAAGUUUCGGCUGUUGGGUAUGGACUCGCGGCUUAUCAGCUUCUUUGUGUGGUAGUGGCUUACCAAGGCUUUGACGGGUAGCCGGCCUGAGAGGGUGACCGGCCACCAUGGGACUGCGGGACGGAGCAGUCUGCAACGGGAGGCAGCAGUCGGGAAUAUUACAGAGUGGGCGGAAGCCUGAGGCGAAGACGCCGCGUGCGGGAUGACCGCCUUCGAGUUAUAAACCGCUUUCGCAUGAGACGAAGCGUGAGUGACGGUAAUGGGUAAAGAAGCACCGGCUAACUACGUG
Molecule: ribosomal RNA, 468 nt
Filed under: uncultured bacterium
Lineage: Bacteria
Description: partial 16S ribosomal RNA
Rfam family: Bacterial small subunit ribosomal RNA
Source: RNAcentral